ACAGGUGCUGCAUGGCUGUCGUCAGCUCGUGUCGUGAGAGUGUUCGGGUUAAGUCCCGCAACGAGCCGCAACCCUUAUCAUUAGUUGCUACGUCAAGGGCACUCUAAUGAGACUGCCGGUGACAAACCGGAGAAGUGGGAUGACGUCAAGUCCUCAUGGCCCUUAUGGGUAGGGCUUCACACGUCAUACAAUGGUCGGUACAGAGGGUUGCCAAGCCGCGAGGCGGAGCCAAUCCCACAAAGCCGAUCGUAGUCCGGAUUGUUCUCUGCAACUCGAGAGCAUGAAGUCGGAAUCGCUAGUAAUCGCAGGUCAGCAUACUGCGGUGAAUACGUUCCCGGGUCUU
Molecule: ribosomal RNA, 343 nt
Filed under: uncultured Thiobacillus sp.
Lineage: Bacteria; Pseudomonadati; Pseudomonadota; Betaproteobacteria; Nitrosomonadales; Thiobacillaceae
Description: bacterial SSU rRNA
Rfam family: Bacterial small subunit ribosomal RNA
Source: RNAcentral